This 1358-nucleotide ribosomal RNA is filed under the name uncultured bacterium. RNAcentral describes it as "bacterial SSU rRNA". It matches the Rfam family "Bacterial small subunit ribosomal RNA", at positions 28 to 1381 of the family's 1533-position model. The record is from RNAcentral.
GAUGAAUGCUAGCUACAGGCUUAACACAUGCAAGUCGAGGGGCAGCAUGGUCUUAGCUUGCUAAGGCCGAUGGCGACCGGCGCACGGGUGAGUAACACGUAUCCAACCUGCCGUCUACUCUUGGACAGCCUUCUGAAAGGAGGAUUAAUACAAGAUGGCAUCAUGAGUCCGCAUGUUCACAUGAUUAAAGGUAUUCCGGUAGACGAUGGGGAUGCGUUCCAUUAGAUAGUAGGCGGGGUAACGGCCCACCUAGUCUUCGAUGGAUAGGGGUUCUGAGAGGAAGGUCCCCCACAUUGGAACUGAGACACGGUCCAAACUCCUACGGGAGGCAGCAGUGAGGAAUAUUGGUCAAUGGGCGAGAGCCUGAACCAGCCAAGUAGCGUGAAGGAUGACUGCCCUAUGGGUUGUAAACUUCUUUUAUAAAGGAAUAAAGUCGGGUAUGCAUACCCGUUUGCAUGUACUUUAUGAAUAAGGAUCGGCUAACUCCGUGCCAGCAGCCGCGGUAAUACGGAGGAUCCGAGCGUUAUCCGGAUUUAUUGGGUUUAAAGGGAGCGUAGAUGGAUGUUUAAGUCAGUUGUGAAAGUUUGCGGCUCAACCGUAAAAUUGCAGUUGAUACUGGAUAUCUUGAGUGCAGUUGAGGCAGGCGGAAUUCGUGGUGUAGCGGUGAAAUGCUUAGAUAUCACGAAGAACUCCGAUUGCGAAGGCAGCCUGCUAAGCUGCAACUGACAUUGAGGCUCGAAAGUGUGGGUAUCAAACAGGAUUAGAUACCCUGGUAGUCCACACGGUAAACGAUGAAUACUCGCUGUUUGCGAUAUACGGCAAGCGGCCAAGCGAAAGCGUUAAGUAUUCCACCUGGGGAGUACGCCGGCAACGGUGAAACUCAAAGGAAUUGACGGGGGCCCGCACAAGCGGAGGAACAUGUGGUUUAAUUCGAUGAUACGCGAGGAACCUUACCCGGGCUUAAAUUGCAGAUGAAUUACGGUGAAAGCCGUAAGCCGCAAGGCAUCUGUGAAGGUGCUGCAUGGUUGUCGUCAGCUCGUGCCGUGAGGUGUCGGCUUAAGUGCCAUAACGAGCGCAACCCUUGUUGUCAGUUACUAACAGGUUCCGCUGAGGACUCUGACAAGACUGCCAUCGUAAGAUGUGAGGAAGGUGGGGAUGACGUCAAAUCAGCACGGCCCUUACGUCCGGGGCUACACACGUGUUACAAUGGGGGGUACAGAGGGCCGCUACCACGCGAGUGGAUGCCAAUCCCCAAAACCUCUCUCAGUUCGGACUGGAGUCUGCAACCCGACUCCACGAAGCUGGAUUCGCUAGUAAUCGCGCAUCAGCCACGGCGCGGUGAAUACGUUCCCGGGCCU